Molecule: ribosomal RNA, 797 nt
Filed under: uncultured archaeon
Lineage: Archaea
Description: bacterial SSU rRNA
Rfam family: Archaeal small subunit ribosomal RNA
Source: RNAcentral
UCAGACUCGUGGCGAAUAGCUCAGUAACACGUGGCCAAACUACCCUUCGGAGCACAAUACCCUCGGGAAACUGAGGCUAAUAGUGCAUACCACAAUCCAGCUGGAAUGAGGAUUGUGCCAAACGCUCCGGCGCCGAAGGAUGUGGCUGCGGCCGAUUAGGUAGACGGUGGGGUAACGGCCCACCGUGCCAAUAAUCGGUACGGGUCAUGAGAGUGAGAACCCGGAGACGGAAUCUGAGACAAGAUUCCGGGCCCUACGGGGCGCAGCAGGCGCGAAACCUUUACACUGCACGACAGUGCGAUAAGGGAAUCCCAAGUGCGCAGGCAUAGAGCCUGCGCUUUUGUCCACCGUAGGGAGGUGGACGAAUAAGGGCUGGGCAAGACCGGUGCCAGCCGCCGCGGUAAUACCGGCAGCCCGAGUGAUGGCCGAUCUUAUUGGGCCUAAAGCGUCCGUAGCUGGCCGCACAAGUCCAUCGGAAAAUCCACCCGCCCAACGGGUGGGCGUCCGGUGGAAACUGUGUGGCUUGGGACCGGAAGGCGCGACGGGUACGUCCGGGGUAGGAGUGAAAUCCCGUAAUCCUGGACGGACCGCCGAUGGCGGAAGCACGUCGCGAGGACGGAUCCGACAGUGAGGGACGAAAGCUAGGGUCUCGAACCGGAUUAGAUACCCGGGUAGUCCUAGCCGUAAACAAUGUCUGUUAGGUGUGGCUCCCACUACGAGUGGGUGCUGUGCCGUAGGGAAGCCGCUAAACAGACCGCCUGGGAAGUACGUCCGCAAGGAUGAAACUUAAAGGAAUU